GGCUUGGUGGUGUAAUGGUAAUGCGCUCCUGUAACUAUAUGGAACAUUCACAUAUUGUUUGACGGAAAGUCCAGAGUUCGAUUCUCCGUCAAGCCA
Mycena latifolia is the source of this 96-nucleotide non-coding RNA. The record is from the annotation of a GenBank genome assembly. Lineage: Eukaryota; Fungi; Basidiomycota; Agaricomycetes; Agaricales; Mycenaceae.